UACAGAGGGUGCAAGCGUUGUUCGGAAUUAUUGGGCGUAAAGCGCACGUAGGCGGUUCGUUAUGUCGGAUGUGAAAGCCCUUGGCUUAACCGAGGAAGUGCAUCCGAAACUGGCGAGCUAGAGUACUAAAGAGGAUCGCGGAAUUCCCGGUGUAGAGGUGAAAUUCGUAGAUAUCGGGAGGAACACCGGUGGCGAAGGCGGCGCCCUGGCCCGACACUGACGCUCAGACACGACAGCAUGGGGAGCGAACGGG
Molecule: ribosomal RNA, 253 nt
Filed under: uncultured bacterium
Lineage: Bacteria
Description: partial 16S ribosomal RNA
Rfam family: Bacterial small subunit ribosomal RNA
Source: RNAcentral